This 76-nucleotide transfer RNA is filed under the name Caudoviricetes sp. Its description in RNAcentral is "tRNA-Phe". It matches the Rfam family "tRNA". From Rfam's summary of the family: Transfer RNA (tRNA) molecules are approximately 80 nucleotides in length. Lineage: Duplodnaviria; Heunggongvirae; Uroviricota; Caudoviricetes. The record is from RNAcentral.
GGGUUGAUAGCUCAGUAGGUAGAGCAAUGGACUGAAAAUUCAUGUGUCGUAGAUUCGAUUUCUACUCAACCCACCA